UACGUAGGUGGCGAGCGUUAUCCGGAAUGAUUGGGCGUAAAGGGUGCGUAGGCGGCCUGCUAAGUCUGGAGUGAAAGGCACCGGCUCAACCGGCACAGGCUCUGGAAACUGGCGGGCUAGAGAGCAGGAGAGGGCGGUGGAACUCCAUGUGUAGCGGUAAAAUGCGUAGAUAUAUGGAAGAACACCAGUGGCGAAGGCGAUUCUCUGGACUGUAACUGACGCUGAGGCUCGAAAGCGUGGGGAGCAAACAGG
This 252-nucleotide ribosomal RNA is filed under the name uncultured bacterium. RNAcentral's name for it is "partial 16S ribosomal RNA". It matches the Rfam family "Bacterial small subunit ribosomal RNA", at positions 524 to 776 of the family's 1533-position model. The record is from RNAcentral.